UUAUGAGAGUUUGAUCCUGGCUCAGGACGAACGCUGGCGGCGUGCCUAAUACAUGCAAGUCGAACGCUUUUUCUUUCACCGGAGCUUGCUCCACCGAAAGAAAAAGAGUGGCGAACGGGUGAGUAACACGUGGGUAACCUGCCCAUCAGAAGGGGAUAACACUUGGAAACAGGUGCUAAUACCGUAUAACACUAUUUUCCGCAUGGAAGAAAGUUGAAAGGCGCUUUUGCGUCACUGAUGGAUGGACCCGCGGUGCAUUAGCUAGUUGGUGAGGUAACGGCUCACCAAGGCAACGAUGCAUAGCCGACCUGAGAGGGUGAUCGGCCACACUGGGACUGAGACACGGCCCAGACUCCUACGGGAGGCAGCAGUAGGG
RNAcentral lists this ribosomal RNA (376 nucleotides) under Listeria monocytogenes. RNAcentral describes it as "bacterial SSU rRNA". It matches the Rfam family "Bacterial small subunit ribosomal RNA", at positions 1 to 359 of the family's 1533-position model. Lineage: Bacteria; Bacillati; Bacillota; Bacilli; Caryophanales; Listeriaceae. The record is from RNAcentral.